This 203-nucleotide unclassified non-coding RNA is filed under the name Hevea brasiliensis (rubber tree). The record is from RNAcentral. Lineage: Eukaryota; Viridiplantae; Streptophyta; Magnoliopsida; Malpighiales; Euphorbiaceae.
GGAAUAUUUAGUGUUUAUAGAAAUAGAAUAAAUGCUCCAAUAGGAGGGAGAAAAAAGAGCUUUUGAGCCAAUAAUAUAGGGCCAAGUGGUGAAAAUUAAUAGAGGAAUCGCACGUAUCAACAAAAGCGGGAAGUGUACAACGCUUAUGAAGCUACCGCUAACUGCUUUUAGGUUUAUAAUAACGUUAACUUCGUUUGUUGCUU